Molecule: unclassified non-coding RNA, 200 nt
Filed under: Dothideomycetes sp.
Lineage: Eukaryota; Fungi; Ascomycota; Dothideomycetes
Description: partial internal transcribed spacer 2
Source: RNAcentral
UUAAGUUCAGCGGGUAUCCCUACCUGAUCCGAGGUCAACCUUGAGGUGAUGGGUUCUCGAGGCCGAGCGGCGUCUCACCUAGAAAGCUGGAGAUUUACUACGCUUGAGGUUCAACACCACCGCCGAUUACUUUAGGGCGCGUCCACAGCAGGGACGGCACCCAAUACCAAGCAGGGCUUGAUGGUUGAUAAUGACGCUCG